AGUUGGUAAGGUAAUGGCUUACCAAGGCUAUGACGGGUAGGGGACCUGAGAGGGUGGCCCCCCACAAUGGAACUGAAACACGGUCCAUACACCUACGGGUGGCAGCAGUAGGGAAUAUUAGUAAUGGGCGAAAGCCUGAACUAGCAACGCCGCGUGUGCGAAGAAGGCCUUCGGGUUGUAAAGCACUUUUAGAGAGGAUGAGGAAGGACGGUACUCUCAGAAUAAGCCUCGGCUAACUACGUGCCAGCAGCCGCGGUAACACGUAGGAGGCGAACGUUAUCCGGAUUUACUGGGCGUAAAGCGCGUGUAGGUGGUUUGGUAAGUAGGGCGUGAAAGCUCCCGGCUCAACUGGGAGAGGCCGUUCUAAACUGCCAAGCUAGAGGAUGGUAGAGGGAGGUGGAAUUCCGGGUGUAGCGGUGGAAUGCGCAGAUAUCCGGAGGAGCACCAGUGGCGAAGGCGGCCUCCUGGGCCACUCCUGACACUCAGACGCGAAAGCUAGGGUAGCAAACGGGAUUAGAGACCCCGGUAGUCCUAGCCCUAAACGAUGUAGACUUGGCGUCGGUGGUUUAAACGCCAUCGGUGUCGCAGCUAACGC
This 595-nucleotide ribosomal RNA is filed under the name uncultured bacterium. RNAcentral describes it as "bacterial SSU rRNA". It matches the Rfam family "Bacterial small subunit ribosomal RNA", at positions 247 to 858 of the family's 1533-position model. The record is from RNAcentral.